Molecule: non-coding RNA, 189 nt
Filed under: Silvibacterium dinghuense
Lineage: Bacteria; Pseudomonadati; Acidobacteriota; Terriglobia; Terriglobales; Acidobacteriaceae
Description: 6S / SsrS RNA
Rfam family: 6S / SsrS RNA
About the family: E. coli 6S RNA was the first non coding RNA to be sequenced, but its function was unknown until recently. It consists of 184 nucleotides that fold into an extended hairpin structure with a large single-stranded internal bulge.
Source: Rfam by way of RNAcentral
ACCGGCCUGCAAAGCAGGUGCGGGGAUCAACGCCGGUUGAACCUUUAAUCAUUGAACAGGGAGCUUGACUCGACAUAUUGGCUCGGUGUGCAGUGUCCGCCAGUCCGGAAUGCCUAAAGAGCCACGGCGAGUUCCCACCGUCUUAGGACGGGUUCACCGGCGCAUCACUCACGGCCCAGUGGGUCGGUC